GAUGAACGCUGGCGGCGUGCCUAAUACAUGCAAGUCGAGCGAACGGACGAGGAGCUUGCUUCUCUGAUGUUUGCGGCGGACGGGUGAGUAACACGUGGAUAACCUACCUAUAAGACUUGGAUAACUUCGGGAAACCGGAGCUAAUACCGGAUAAUAUUUUGAACCGCAUUGUUCAAUAGUGAAAGACGGUUUUGCUGUCACUUAUAGAUGGAUCCGCGCCGCAUUAGCUAGUUGGUAAGGUAACGGCUUACCAAGGCAACGAUGCGUAGCCGACCUGAGAGGGUGAUCGGCCACACUGGAACUGAGACACGGUCCAGACUCCUACGGGAGGCAGCAGUAGGGAAUCUUACGCAAUGGGCGAAAGCCUGACGGAGCAAAGCCGCGUGAGUGAUGAAGGUCUUCGGAUCGUAAAACUCUGUUAUUAGGGAAGAACAAAUGUGUAAGUAACUAUGCACAUCUUGACGGUACCUAAUCAGAAAGCCACGGCUAACUACGUG
RNAcentral lists this ribosomal RNA (497 nucleotides) under uncultured bacterium. Its description in RNAcentral is "partial 16S ribosomal RNA". It matches the Rfam family "Bacterial small subunit ribosomal RNA", at positions 28 to 507 of the family's 1533-position model. The record is from RNAcentral.